GUCACUUUGCCGGAGUGGUUAACGGGAUCGCCUGCUAUACGUAGCUUUCAGCGGUUGGUCUAUGACCGCGUGUGUUCGACUCACACAGGUGACG
Molecule: non-coding RNA, 94 nt
Organism: Fomitopsis betulina (razor strop fungus)
Lineage: Eukaryota; Fungi; Basidiomycota; Agaricomycetes; Polyporales; Fomitopsidaceae
Source: the annotation of a GenBank genome assembly